This 460-nucleotide ribosomal RNA is filed under the name uncultured bacterium. Its description in RNAcentral is "SSU rRNA". It matches the Rfam family "Bacterial small subunit ribosomal RNA", at positions 26 to 518 of the family's 1533-position model. The record is from RNAcentral.
AGAAUCAACGCUGGCGGCGUGCCUAACACAUGCAAGUCGAACGAGAAAGUGGAGCAAUCCACAAGUAAAGUGGCGCACGAGUGAGUAACACGUGACUAACCUACCCUUGAGUGGGGGAUAACCUAGAGAAAUCUGGGCUAAUACCGCAUAAUACCUUCGGGUCAAAGGAGCAAUUCGCUUAAGGAGGGGGUCGCGGCCGAUUAGUUGGUUGGCGGGGUAAUGGCCCACCAAGACUAUGAUCGGUAUCCGGCCUGAGAGGGCGCACGGACACACUGGAACUGAAACACGGUCCAGACUCCUACGGGAGGCAGCAGUGGGGAAUUUUGCGCAAUGGGGGAAACCCUGACGCAGCAACGCCGCGUGGAGGAUGAAGUCCCUUGGGACGUAAACUCCUUUCGAUCGGGACGAUAAUGACGGUACCGGAAGAAGAAGCCCCGGCUAACUUCGUGCCAGCAGCCGC